AAAGGUACAGCUCGGUGGUAGAGUGCGUGCUUGGCAUGCACGAGGUCCUGGGUUCAAUACCCAGUGCCUCCA
This 72-nucleotide transfer RNA is filed under the name Camelus bactrianus (Bactrian camel). It matches the Rfam family "tRNA". Rfam says of the family: Transfer RNA (tRNA) molecules are approximately 80 nucleotides in length. Their secondary structure includes four short double-helical elements and three loops (D, anti-codon, and T loops). Lineage: Eukaryota; Metazoa; Chordata; Mammalia; Artiodactyla; Camelidae. RNAcentral also lists the same sequence under 1 other name. The record is from Rfam by way of RNAcentral.